Molecule: long non-coding RNA, 1022 nt
Organism: Ooceraea biroi (clonal raider ant)
Lineage: Eukaryota; Metazoa; Arthropoda; Insecta; Hymenoptera; Formicidae
Source: RefSeq, a predicted model, not a curated record
ACUCGUGAAACCAGCGCGAGCAACUGGCGCAAAGUAGCUCUACGAUGUUCAGGUUCCUCUCUUUGCCGCUACAAAAUCAUUCACGUUUUUUCUUCUGCCAUCGUCUUGCAGAUUAUUUUACGUUCUACGAAACUUGUAAUCCCUCCAUAACAUCAUCUCAUGCCAAUUUUAGAUACAAACCGUUAACCAUCAGACGAUAAAUAUAUAUCGAUAAGCGUGAUCGUUACUUUAUCGAUAAUAUUCAAUACUUACCAACAGGUAAUCAAGUUGUCAAGACUAUCUGUCGAUAUAUUAUGUCGGCAGAAUACCAUCAGUACUUUAAUAGAAUAUGCCGUUUUACUAAUAUCGACAGAUAUUCAAUAGUUGAACACAAUGUAAUGGCAGAAACAUUGCAAACAAUAAACAAAGUUUACCGCGAGGAUUAGAUUUCAAAUAUAUCGAGACUCGCGAGUGGCAUCUCUGGAUAAAUGAACUUAUAUAGUUUCUCCCGUAGAAGGGAGGUGUAUUUAAAAGCUAAUGAAGAAAGUCCAUCUUGUCACUGUAGCUGCUGCCACCGUCGAACUAUGUAAUUUCAUGGAACAUGAACGAGACAGAAACGAAAUUUAUCGAUAAUAACGACGAGAAUAGCGGUCGGAACGAAAGGGUGAUGUGGAAGAAAAGAGGUGGGGAACGUAGAAGGUUGAAGGCAGGGCGAGAACGGCGGCUUCAGCUGACCUUUUUAAGCCGUGAAGGGGAAAUUCGGUCUGCUCGACGGGCCCGUUUAUCCUACCCCUGCGGUCCCCGCACCAUCACGUAUAAUGAUCCGCAGCGGCGCUCAACUUCUUGGAAACUGCGCGGUUACCACUAAUGGCUCGCAACUUGUCGUCAUCUUUCUUUGUAUCAUCCAUCAUCAUAUUAUAUUUGUUAUUCUCGAUUGCAAUAUGCGUAUUCGUACAUUGACAGAUAUUGAGCGUUUAUGUAAAAAAAAUUAAUUAGAAAAUGUAACGUAAUGCGCGGGUGUAAAAUAAACACAUUUUUCAUUA